RNAcentral lists this transfer RNA (85 nucleotides) under Yarrowia lipolytica. It matches the Rfam family "tRNA". Rfam says of the family: Transfer RNA (tRNA) molecules are approximately 80 nucleotides in length. RNAcentral also lists the same sequence under 1 other name. Lineage: Eukaryota; Fungi; Ascomycota; Dipodascomycetes; Dipodascales. The record is from Rfam by way of RNAcentral.
GCCUGGCUAGCUCAAUCGGUAGAGCGUGAGACUCUUAUUCUUAGGUGUCAUCUCAAGGCUGUGGGUUCAAGCCCCACGUCGGGCU